ACCCAGACAGGUGUUUUUGCAGGAGGGUUCUACCACCGGUUCAUCAAUUCCUCGGCAGCAACAACAACAACUUUUUUGUGCAGAAGCAUCUGAUACCAACUCGACAAAUGUUCUUCAUUUGCCAAAAGGUGAUGCCCAGAAUUUUGAAACCCCGGCGGUCACGCGGCCUCCUUCUCCACUGGCCAGGAGCCGUAAGCGUCACUUGGGGGUUCGGGACCAUGAGAUACUAGCUAGGCUCAAGGCUCGUCUUACCAAAAAGGGGGAUGAUAUCAUCAUGCGACUUGUUGAGCGUGCUAGGGAACAAGUUAGUUAAUUUAAACAUGCACUUGCUCGAUCUUUUUAAUUCUGUCAUCACUUAUGAUUCAUGUUCUUUUUUCCUUCUUUAGAUUGAAUCUUUUGUUUAUGGUCGAUAUGUUCUAUGAACCAUCCGACUCUGAGGAAGAAAGCAUUGAUCCUUCUAGUUACGGGGGAGUACCCUAGCUACUUAUAUUUAGGAGCUAAAUCCAAUGUCAAAGCUGAUGACGAAAUGAUCCGCUCGAAGAAGAGAUGUUUAGGUGGCUUGUCAGUGAUCUUUACAACCCUAAGAGGCCUCUAGGUUCUUACAUCGUUUUCAUGGAGGAGUUUAACAAGCAGUACCUGGAGGUGAAUACAAACAUCAAAUCUUUUGACGCCAUCGAGAAGUUGGUGGAGGCAAGUGGAAACAGAUGUCAGAUGCUGAGAAAGCUCCUUAUAUAGCAGAGGCACAGAAUAGGAGGGUCGAAUAUGCAAAGAUCUUGAACUCUUAUAACCCGCUGAUGGCUGCCGAAGAAGAGUGACAAGUCAAGAUCCGAGGUUGCUCCAUCCAAAGAUGGGGAGAAUCCUUGCUACGCACAUUUAGUUUCCUCAUGAAGGAGAAAAAUCCCAUGCCAAAGCUAAUUAUGUAUUCCGCACGAUGAAGAAAGAUCGGGAACUAAAAAGGUUACCUAGGAGGCCUGCAAGUGCUUACUUCAUUUUCAUGGAGGAUUUUAGAAACCAGUUACAUGACAAGCAUCAAAUCUAUCGCUGCUGCCAGGAAAGCCGGUGGAAGAAGAUGUCAGAUGCUGAGAAAGCUCCUUAUAUAGCGGAGGAAGAGAAAAGGAAGCUAGAGCAUGCAAAGAUAAUGAAUGCAUAUAACAGGCGAGUGGCUGCCGAAGAAGAGGAAUAUUCUGAUGAGUCAAGUUCCGAGUUUGAUGAUGAAGAGGGAAGUGGAGAGGAAGACGAAGAUGACCACUUGUAUACUUUCUUCUUUCCUCGUUAGGAGAUACUUUGUUCAACUUUUUGGGGGUUUCAUGAAAAAAGAUGAAAUUGAGCAGGUAAUUGCUUUUAAAGCACAAUUGUUUAUUGUUUAUGUCCUUUCUAUUUUGAUGCUGCUUAAACAUAAUUCAACUGGCCUUUUGUCUUUCUUGGCUUGUUAUGGAUUUUUAUCUAAUACCUCUCCUACUAAUUACUGUCUACUUUGUUGGUAAAA
Molecule: long non-coding RNA, 1486 nt
Organism: Lycium barbarum (goji berry)
Lineage: Eukaryota; Viridiplantae; Streptophyta; Magnoliopsida; Solanales; Solanaceae
Exons: 3
Source: RefSeq, a predicted model, not a curated record